GAUGAACGCUGGCGGCGUGCCUAAUACAUGCAAGUCGAGCGAACAGACGAGGAGCUUGCUCCUCUGACGUUAGCGGCGGACGGGUGAGUAACACGUGGAUAACCUACCUAUAAGACUGGGAUAACUUCGGGAAACCGGAGCUAAUACCGGAUAAUAUAUUGAACCGCAUGGUUCAAUAGUGAAAGACGGUUUUGCUGUCACUUAUAGAUGGAUCCGCGCCGCAUUAGCUAGUUGGUAAGGUAACGGCUUACCAAGGCAACGAUGCGUAGCCGACCUGAGAGGGUGAUCGGCCACACUGGAACUGAGACGCGGUCCAGACUCCUACGGGAGGCAGCAGUAGGGAAUCUUCCGCAAUGGGCGAAAGCCUGACAGAGCAACGCCGCGUGAGUGAUGAAGGUCUUCGGAUCGUAAAACUCUGUUAUUAGGGAAGAACGAAUGUGUAAGUAACUAUGCACGUCUUGACGGUACCUGGUCAGAAAGCCACGGCUAACUACGUG
This 497-nucleotide ribosomal RNA is filed under the name uncultured bacterium. RNAcentral's name for it is "partial 16S ribosomal RNA". It matches the Rfam family "Bacterial small subunit ribosomal RNA", at positions 28 to 507 of the family's 1533-position model. The record is from RNAcentral.